AAAAGGGUGCUGAGGCCAAGAAAACCCAGCCCAGCCCUGGGGACAAAGCCAGCCAGAAGACCCUCAGUGCUGGACACCAGAGCGCUUCAGCAACCAAGGAUAAGGCAUCUGACAAACCCCAGGCAAGAUUUUCAGUGCCCUCCAAGAUGGCAGCCGUUUCCUGCGCCACCGCUCCUGCACCACAGCGACUGACCAUCCUCACCAGGACAGGGAGAAAGGAGGAAAAGAGGAAGUGUUGGAGCUGUGUGCUGCCCGAGGAAUUGCUGGUGGAAAUCAUCUCUGAACGGCUGCAGCUGAGUGACUGCUACAAGGGAGGGGUGUUUGAUGGCCUGGAGACCCUCUUUGCGAGCAGCCUGGCAUCUUCUCUCCUGUGCGUGCUCAAAGCUGUGAAUGCUCCCAGCUGACCCAGAGCCCCAAGCUCUGCUCGCAGUCACUGAUGGCUUCUCUUGUGGUCUGUGCUGAAGCACGGGAGAAGGAAGAAGCUGCCCGGAGAGAGGAAGAACAUCUCUGGGAUGUGGAUGUGGACGAGUACGAAGCCCUCUCUGAGAAGCAGAAAGCUCUGCUUGAUUACAAAAUAGAACAAAUCAAGCGUGAGCGGAAGGAGAGAAGGGAGCUGGAGCAGCUGGCUCGAGAGCAUAAGGAAAGCAAAAAGGCGUCAUCACGAGCCUCAGAGAAGCAAGAUGGCCAGCAGGUUGGGAAGAGCUGCUGCC
Long non-coding RNA from Manacus vitellinus (golden-collared manakin), 710 nucleotides. RefSeq lists it as uncharacterized. The record is from RefSeq and is a predicted model, not a curated record. The transcript has 4 exons. Lineage: Eukaryota; Metazoa; Chordata; Aves; Passeriformes; Pipridae.